GGGCCGUUAGCUCAAUGGUUAGAGCAGGUGCCUUUUAAGCACUUGGUUCUCGGUUCGAGUCCGAGACGGCCCA
This 73-nucleotide transfer RNA is filed under the name Verrucomicrobium sp. GAS474. It matches the Rfam family "tRNA". Rfam says of the family: Transfer RNA (tRNA) molecules are approximately 80 nucleotides in length. Their secondary structure includes four short double-helical elements and three loops (D, anti-codon, and T loops). Further hydrogen bonds mediate the characteristic L-shaped molecular structure. tRNAs have two regions of fundamental functional importance: the anti-codon, which is responsible for specific mRNA codon recognition, and the 3' end, to which the tRNAs corresponding amino acid is attached (by aminoacyl-tRNA synthetases). tRNAs cope with the degeneracy of the genetic code in two manners: having more than one tRNA (with a specific anti-codon) for a particular amino acid; and 'wobble' base-pairing, i.e. permitting non-standard base-pairing at the 3rd anti-codon position. The record is from Rfam by way of RNAcentral. Lineage: Bacteria; Pseudomonadati; Verrucomicrobiota; Verrucomicrobiia; Verrucomicrobiales; Verrucomicrobiaceae.